Molecule: ribosomal RNA, 254 nt
Filed under: uncultured bacterium
Lineage: Bacteria
Description: partial 16S ribosomal RNA
Rfam family: Bacterial small subunit ribosomal RNA
Source: RNAcentral
UACAGAGGUCCCGAGCGUUGUUCGGAUUCACUGGGCGUAAAGGGUGCGUAGGUGGCUUGAAAAAGUUUGAUGUGAAAGCUCAGGGCUUAACCCUGAAAUGGCAUUGAAUACUGUCGGGCUGGAGGUUUGGAGGGGGGACUGGAAUUCUUGGUGUAGCAGUGAAAUGCGUAGAUAUCAAGAGGAACACCAGUGGCGAAGGCGAGUCCCUGGACAACACCUGACACUGAGGCACGAAAGCUAGGGGAGCAAACAGG